Molecule: small nucleolar RNA, 99 nt
Organism: Ziziphus jujuba (common jujube)
Lineage: Eukaryota; Viridiplantae; Streptophyta; Magnoliopsida; Rosales; Rhamnaceae
Product: small nucleolar RNA snoR113
Exons: 1
Source: RefSeq, a predicted model, not a curated record
UGGCAAUGAUGACAAAAAGGCCGGACUUACGGCUGCUGCUUCCGCUUGGUCGGUAGUAGAAUGAUGAACGUUGCGGUAAAGGUGUUUGUGCUGAGCCAC